RNAcentral lists this ribosomal RNA (253 nucleotides) under uncultured bacterium. Its description in RNAcentral is "partial 16S ribosomal RNA". It matches the Rfam family "Bacterial small subunit ribosomal RNA", at positions 524 to 776 of the family's 1533-position model. The record is from RNAcentral.
UACGGAGGGUGCAAGCGUUGUUCGGAAUCACUGGGCGUAAAGGGCGUGUAGGCGGUCUAUCAAGUCUGGUGUGAAAUCCCCUCGCUCAACGAGGGAACUGCGCCGGAAACUGACAGACUAGAGUACCGGAGAGGAAGGUGGAAUUCCCGGUGUAACGGUGAAAUGCGUAGAUAUCGGGAGGAACACCAGUGGCGAAGGCGGCGACCUGGACGGACACUGACGCUGAGACGCGAAAGCGUGGGGAGCAAACAGG